RNAcentral lists this ribosomal RNA (485 nucleotides) under uncultured Pseudomonas sp. RNAcentral describes it as "bacterial SSU rRNA". It matches the Rfam family "Bacterial small subunit ribosomal RNA", at positions 916 to 1381 of the family's 1533-position model. The record is from RNAcentral. Lineage: Bacteria; Pseudomonadati; Pseudomonadota; Gammaproteobacteria; Pseudomonadales; Pseudomonadaceae.
UUAAAUAGUAAGUUACGACGGGGCCCGGCACAAGCGGCGGAGCAUGCGGAUUAAUUCGAUGCAACGCGAAGAACCUUACCAAGGCUUGACAUACACCGGUAACGCCCAGAGAUGGGUGCCCCUUUGUGGUCGGUGUACAGGUGGUGCAUGGUUGUCGUCAGCUCGUGUCGUGAGAUGUUGGGUUAAGUCCCGUAACGAGCGCAACCCUUGUCCUUAGUUACCAGCACGUAAUGGUGGGCACUCUAAGGAGACUGCCGGUGACAAACCGGAGGAAGGUGGGGAUGACGUCAAGUCAUCAUGGCCCUUACGGCCAGGGCUACACACGUGCUACAAUGGUCGGUACAGAGGGUUGCCAAACCGCGAGGUGGAGCUAAUCUCACAAAACCGAUCGUAGUCCGGAUCGCAGUCUGCAACUCGACUGCGUGAAGUCGGAAUCGCUAGUAAUCGUGAAUCAGAAUGUCACGGUGAAUACGUUCCCGGGCCUU